Pteropus alecto (black flying fox) is the source of this 119-nucleotide non-coding RNA. Lineage: Eukaryota; Metazoa; Chordata; Mammalia; Chiroptera; Pteropodidae. The record is from Rfam.
GUCUACAGCCAUACCACCCUGAACGAGCCCGAUCCCAUCCGAUCUCAGAAGCUAAGCAGGGUCGGGCCCGGUUAGUACUUGGAUGGGUGACCACCUAAGAAGACCAGGUGCCGUAGGCG